GACGAACGCUGGCGGCGUGCUUAACACAUGCAAGUCGAACGAUGAAGAAGAGAAACGCGAACUUCGGUUCAAAUUUCACUUCGGAUUAGUGGCAGACGGGCGAGUAACGCGUGUGCAACCUACCUCUUACAAAGGGAUAGCCUCGGGAAACCGUUAUUAAUACCAUAUGACACAUUCAUAAGGCAUCUUAAGAAUGUUAAAGCUACGGCGGUAAGAGAUGGGCUCGCGUCCCAUUAGCUAGUUGGUGAGGUAACGGCCCACCAAGGCGACGAUGGGUAACCGGCCUGAGAGGGUGAACGGUCACAUUGGAACUGAGACACGGUCCAAACUCCUACGGGAGGCAGCAGUGGGGAAUAUUGCACAAUGGAGGGAACUCUGAUGCAGCGACGCCGCGUGAGCGAUGAAGGAAUUCGUUUCGUAAAGCUCUGUUAUAUGGGAAGAAAAGGACUGUACCAUAGGAGAAAGCCCCGGCUAAAUACGUG
RNAcentral lists this ribosomal RNA (482 nucleotides) under uncultured bacterium. Its description in RNAcentral is "partial 16S ribosomal RNA". It matches the Rfam family "Bacterial small subunit ribosomal RNA", at positions 28 to 507 of the family's 1533-position model. The record is from RNAcentral.